Molecule: transfer RNA, 77 nt
Filed under: Dehalococcoidia bacterium
Lineage: Bacteria; Bacillati; Chloroflexota; Dehalococcoidia
Description: tRNA-Arg
Rfam family: tRNA
About the family: Transfer RNA (tRNA) molecules are approximately 80 nucleotides in length. Their secondary structure includes four short double-helical elements and three loops (D, anti-codon, and T loops).
Source: RNAcentral
GCGCCCGUAGCUCAGCGGAAUAGAGCAUCGGUCUUCGGAACCGGGGGUCGUGGGUUCGAAUCCCACCGGGCGCACCA